UGGCCAUAAUUCAUUGUCAAAAGGGUGGUUGGCUAUUGAUGUCAAAAGGUAGGUUUACCUUAUUCUUCUACAACCCUUUACCAAAGAGACCAUUCAGCUUCGGGAGUCGCAAUGUGGUUAUGGAUUUUCUGGUAUUUCAUUCUCCUCCUUACAAACUUGCUCAGACUGUGUAGUUUUUGGCAUUACGCAACAAAAUGAAGAAGAGAUUUUCAUUUAUGCCAUUAAAAGGGGAGCUGACAGUUGGAGAUUUCCUAUAUUUGAAAAUAGUGAUUUGGAGGCGUACAUGCCAACUUUUAAUGAACCAGUUUUUCACAAGGGUGCUUUUUAUUGCGUAGAUUAUAACGGAACCUUGGGAGUUUUUGAUGAGCAUAAGUGGAGUUGGAGUGUUCUCAAAUGGCCUCGUGGAUUCUCUAAUGCUGCAUAUGUUAGUUUCUUGGUGGAGUGUGACGACGACCUUUUAUGUGGGCAAAGUCUAUUUCCCGAGAAUGCACGGCAAACGGAUUUUAUACUACUCGCUUGAGACAGGUAGUUAUCAUUCAGUUGGAAGUACUCAUUCUGCCAAGGCUUAUUUUUGACACGAAGGGCUGGACGAACUGUACUUGGAUUGAACCUAAUUGGUCGCGAUCCACAUCUCAAGAGCUCGAUUGGCUUAUUAAGAAUCCUCUGUGAACCAGAACUAGUUUCUUCUUGUUAAGUCUAUAUUAGGAUUUAAUCCGUUUUUUUAGUUAUUUAUGUUUGUUGAGGUUGAAUUAGAGAUGCAUACUUGCUAUGAGUAUAUUAUAGAGUAUUUAGGUGUUUCAGACGACAUACAGUUUUGGUAUCUGAUUACUGCAAUAGAUUGGUCUAAUUAUUGCUUGAUAUAAUGUCAUGUUCAACUGUGGUUGCUUUUUUCAGACUGGAAAAAACGCACUCUCCAGGGCUCGAACGGAUAUAUACUGAUAGUUUAUUAUUCCUUUUUGUGGUCUACAAGACGACUUUGCUUCUGUAUAUACUUAGCAAGUGAACCUACAUUAUCGAUGUUUCUGCAUAUAGAUGUAUGUAUACACGCAGCAGGAUUCUGAGAGUUUGGCUUAGGCAUCAAAAUGCCAGGGGACGGCCAUGUUUAUGCUUUGCUUAAAGGGAAGUUCACCAUGGAAUCAUUUCGAAGAGCUUUUGUUGGUUCCGAGACUGGGACUCUUCAGCUUGAGAUCUUUUUCAGAGGUUGUUCAGGCAAGACUUGUUAGUUGCUAGCCUGUUCAGGAACUUCUUAUUCGCUGAACGAAUAAUGCGUUUGCUCACCAAUUUCACAUCCUAUGUUGCCUUCAAUUCAUCAGCAUCAUAUGUGGUAUGUAUCUGAAAUUUUUUAACGGAAUAUUGUUGUUCUUUGACGAUUUCUUGGGAAUUUUAACCAGCCAUUGCAGCUUCCGUCAUUGGUUAAAGAAGCUAAUGCGGAGUUCCAGGUAGGUAAUGUAUGAAUACAUUGUUUAGGAGUUUUGAACUGGAUUUAAGUUUUUUUUUUUUUUUAAACCUUCAGUAGUCGAGCAUGGAUUGCAUUUAUCUUGAAGAUUGAGAAUGAAUUAUGUUGACCUGGUCUUCAGUGUCAUCGGUUUCGGGCACUGGUCCUUCUUGGUCGAUUCCAUGAUAUGGAACCUUAUAGUUAUAGGCUGUUGAUCUGGCCUCAUCUGUUGGAAUCUUUCCAUAUGUUCUCAAAGUGCUACAAACAACAGCAGUGGAGUUGAAGCAUAUUCUUAUUAUCAGUCAUGUCAGGCAGAUCUGGUGAAGCAUGGUGGCAAGAAUAUUUCAUUAGGUUUCUAGACGGCAUGGAUGCAUAUCCAGAGCAGUGCACAAUGACAGCUUUUGUUCUGGCUGUUAUUAUGGAUUCUCAUAGACGAGGGCAGGAAUCCCGUGCUAAAGCAGAUUUGAUUCAUAUGUGCUUGAGGCAUCUUCAUCCUACAAAUAACACACACAAUGCUCAGUCAGAGCCCUUACUUCUUCAGUGGCUUUGUCUCUUCCUGGGGUAACUGUGGGAGGAUUUCCCCCGAAGCGCAGAAUAUGGGUUUGGGUGUUGAUGCAUCUUUGAUUCUUGCAACACUACUGUCAGAACCCUAACCUGAGGUCAGGAUGUGUGCUGUGUUUCCUUACCAUUCUUGACACUGGAUUUUGAUGAAAGUCCUGUAGUUUCGCCUGAAGUAGCUGUAGCUCCUGCAGGCUUUGCUUCCGGCCGUUAUAACAUUUUACACUCACCUGCUGCAGCAUACGAACUUUAAGCCAUUAUCCAACUCCCUGCUGGGUUCGUUACCAUCAUUGGCUAAUAUUACUGGUAAAAGUAGUGGUUAUCCUAGCACUAGCCGGUACAUGCAACCUGGAGGUACAAUUCCUUCUCUUAUUGGUCCUGUGUUGAGGGUUGGAAGUGAUCAUAUAUCCGUGAGCCGAGAUGGGAGUGUCUCCACCAGCAGCCCUAUUGCUACUUUGUGAAUAGUGCGCACAUAUGGCUCUCCAUUAUCAGAUGAAAUUCAUGUCAACAUUCUGGUUCUGGAGUACAGUUAAAUGAUGCCGCGAGCAAUGGGGUUAUUGCUUAUUCAAGGUCAUGGCCUUUUGAAAGUGGAAUGUAUUUGCAGUGUGGACUCUAGCGUAAGGAUCCAUCAGCCCCUGUGGCAUGACUUGGACAUAAAGUACUCCUGAUAGUUGGUACUCCUACAAAAGCGUUGCGUUUCAGUGGUGGUAGCAAUGUCCGUCAGGGUGAUCUUCCAGCUACUACUCCUAGCUACUCCUAAGUCCUAACCUUGCUGGACUAGCAUUAUCAAAUUCAUGGUUCGACAUGAAUUCAGGUAAUCUAUCUGUG
Molecule: long non-coding RNA, 2821 nt
Organism: Papaver somniferum (opium poppy)
Lineage: Eukaryota; Viridiplantae; Streptophyta; Magnoliopsida; Ranunculales; Papaveraceae
Exons: 6
Source: RefSeq, a predicted model, not a curated record